CACGGGUGAUGUAUGGCUGGAGCUGAUGAGAAACGUGCGGUGGAAUGGAGACCGGCGGCGCGGGCGGCCCACGCGGGGGCAGCGCGGCAUUGAGAUUCCGCAGGGCGCGGGGGGCGGCGCAGGCCCUGACACGGGCCGGGUAAUUGAUCUGGAGGUGCCAAUUUGCAGCAACUAAAUAUUUGGUUUCUGCUUCUGCCUGCUCCUCGCUCUGCUCAAACAAACUUCAAUUAAAAGCGAUAAGCAAGCGUGGGGAGGCAGCGCGCCCGGGUCCCCACGGCCGGAUCGAUGGCACCGAGCCUGCGGGCUGCCGAGCGCCUAGCGGCGGGCGGUAGGCACCUCCUUAUGAGGGCAGGAUCGGCGCCCUCUUUCGGAUCGCCGAGCACUGGGCGCACGGCCCGGGAGAGGCUGCGCCAGAGGGGGCACCUCAGAGAGCCCAGAAGCACCAAACCAUGGUCACAAACAGAACCAGCCCAGACACCUCCGCCCCGAUGUCUGAGCUUGCACACUACAACUGAGGCCUUGGAAGAAGGGCUCCCUGGGCGCUGACCCUGCUCUCCGGAUGCAUCUCAGCAGAGUAACUUUGAAGAUGACCUCAAUUGUGUUCUCUCUGCAUCUUCUUCCAGAAUCCCAGGUUCCUAUUCCCUGCCCACGGCUGCCCAUCUGUCUACCACUGAGUGGGCCAAAGAGCUGCAGGUGAAGCCUUUAAUCCCAGCACUCGGGAUGCAGAGGCAAAAGCCCUGAAGCACAAUACUUCGCCUCAGGAAUCAUCCCCGUGGGCCUUUAGCCUCUGUGUUUCUCUAUGGCUUGGGGCACCAAUCUCCCCGCAAAAAAAGCUGGAUCCAGACAGAGCUCUGCGUGAGGCUGAGGAAGGACCUGCGGCUGAGGACCCGCAGCUGGUGUCCUCAAGAGACUUCCCACCCACCCCCUUCCUGUGCUUCCUGCUCAGGGGUAUGUGUGUGUGAGAGAGUGGGGAUCGGCUGCAGGCUCCCUGCCUUCAGCCGGAAGCCCCUUCCCUGCCCGCACGUCCAUCGGAAGCCUGCUCUCGCUCCGUCCCCCAGCCCCCCUUCCCGGAGGGCUGAGCUGUGGUGGAGCUAAAUGAUUCCCUGUAAUUGGCCGGCAAUCCAGCCGCCCGACUUGUUCUAUCGACAUGCUGGUUAGCUGGAAAUUGUAUUGGAAUCUGAGUGAUGGGGAAGGGAGGGGGUGGAGAGCAAGGAGAGGCGGCUCUGGGUCCCAGCUGGGUGCAGCUUCAGACAACAGCCGCAUCCUCCCUUCCCUGAGGGGAGCAGGACACCACAUCUCAUUACCUUCACUCGGCCUCUCUGGCCAUCUUCAAGGGCCUCUCCUGGCCAUCCAUGCAACCCCCCCUCGCCUGCAGUCAUUUCUGCCGCCCAGUCCUGGAGAUCGAGUGCCUUUGUGAAACAAGGGCCCCUGGGGAAAGACACUAUCCUCCUGUCCAGUUACUCCCAAGCUUUCUCUUGCCCUGCCCCUUGUCCCAUAGGAUAGAGAAGUCAUCUGAAGAGUUGUCAGUUAGGGCAGAUAAAGGUGUCAGUACAUCAUCGUUGGGAAUCCAGAAUGGUGCUCACAGCACUGGGUUGCACCUGCCUCCACCCACCUCUGAAACCCGUGUAAAUUCUGCCCCUACAUCACCCACACCGUUUGCAGAACUGGGAAGAUUUGAAGAUGAUACAGGCUGUGCUUUGGUCAAGUGCAAACCCAUGAUUAACCUUGGGCAAGUUGGACCAGGAGAGGGAAGCAGCUUUAGGGGCUGCCUGCAUCCUUCAACGCUUGCCAAGAAGCAGGCCUUUAUUUGCAACCAGAGAAAACAGAAGAGAGCCAGACAUGAGAGGAGCCUUCUCUAUGAAAGCCAACCUCACUACAGAGGACGCAAGCUUUAAAUGCCACACGUCUAUGGCUGGGGAGCCUGAAGGAGAAUGGAGACGGCUGUCAGCUGCUUGGAAGUACACCCACCCUCCCAAAAGUGUGGUGCAGAACAGAGAGGCCCGGGCUUCGGGCUGUGACGGUGACACUUGAUUCUGUUAUGGCUGUGUUUUCCUUUACUCCUCCCCUGUCUUCUCAGAAGCAUCACAGAUCACACAGGUCCAGUCUCUGUAGGAAGAACUCCAGGCGGCCUCACAAGGUAUAGCUCCUCCUGGUGACUAGCAAGCAGUCUAACAUUCCUCUUCCGUCCCUACAUACAGUUUUUUAAGAGCUUUGUUUUCUGAGCGUUUUUGCCUACAUGUAUGUAAGGGCAUCAGGUGUGUGCUUGGAAGCCAAAAGGAGUCAGAUUCCCCGGGGCUGGAGUUAAGGAUGUAGUGAGUUACCAUGUGGAGGCUGGGUCCUCUGAACAGCAAGUGCUCUUAAAUGCUAAGCGAUCCCUCCAGUCCCCUAACUUUGUUAUUAAGGCACAGAAAAUCCGAGGACUUCACAGGGCCCUCCUGGGCUCAGCUGGUAUCCUCUACAACAGAAUAAAGAACCCAGACAGGGCAGGGAUAUAGCUUAGCUUUCAGAGCACUUGCUAACAUAUGCAAAGCUCUGGGUUCUAUAGUCAUAGCCACUAAAAACAAGACGAGCCAGGGAGACUGAAGUUUACACAGGGAAGCCCAGCCCUGGGGAGGACCUGAUAGGAUGUCUGCAUCCCAGUACCAGGCUCGGGGGAUUCAGGCUGAGCUGAGACACCUGAGGUGAGGGUAAGGCAGCCCUCAGGCACGAGCGAGCCUUUCCGUGUACGAGGAGCCUCCCACACACCAACCCCUUGAGAACCACCUUGUGCUGAAAAUGCCUGCAGACCCAAGGCCCACCUAUGUGUCUGCCACACUUGUGGAUGACAUCUGGGAAGUCUCUGGAAAGCAGACACGCCCUGCAGCCUCAUCCACUCUCACCCGAAGGGACUGUGUGACUCAUUUCUCUGGCAGCUUGAUUCUCCUGUUUGCCAAACCUGAAUUCUGAUUUUCUUCCUGUCCUGGGGGAAUCUGAGAAUGAAGCUCCUUCCUCGGGUGGCUUCUGACAGCUGCCUCCACAGCUCUGUUCUGGGUGCUACCAAUGGAUGAUCUUCAACAAAG
Mus musculus (house mouse) is the source of this 3059-nucleotide long non-coding RNA. RefSeq annotates it as predicted gene, 34620. The transcript has 3 exons. The record is from RefSeq and is a predicted model, not a curated record. Lineage: Eukaryota; Metazoa; Chordata; Mammalia; Rodentia; Muridae.